RNAcentral lists this ribosomal RNA (253 nucleotides) under uncultured bacterium. Its description in RNAcentral is "partial 16S ribosomal RNA". It matches the Rfam family "Bacterial small subunit ribosomal RNA", at positions 524 to 776 of the family's 1533-position model. The record is from RNAcentral.
UACGAAGGGGGCUAGCGUUGCUCGGAAUCACUGGGCGUAAAGCGCACGUAGGCGGACUCUUAAGUCGGUGGUGAAAUCCUGGAGCUCAACUCCAGAACUGCCUUCGAUACUGAGAGUCUUGAGUCCGAGAGAGGUGAGUGGAACUGCGAGUGUAGAGGUGAAAUUCGUAGAUAUUCGCAAGAACACCAGUGGCGAAGGCGGCUCACUGGCCCGAUACUGACGCUGAGGCACGAAAGCGUGGGGAGCAAACAGG